AGGCAUAUAGCUAAGUGGUAGAGUACGUGCUUUGCGUGUAUGAGGUCCAGGGUUCAAUGCCCUGCACUUCCA
This 72-nucleotide transfer RNA is filed under the name Macaca fascicularis (crab-eating macaque). It matches the Rfam family "tRNA". Rfam says of the family: Transfer RNA (tRNA) molecules are approximately 80 nucleotides in length. Lineage: Eukaryota; Metazoa; Chordata; Mammalia; Primates; Cercopithecidae. RNAcentral also lists the same sequence under 2 other names. The record is from Rfam by way of RNAcentral.